UUAAGUUCAGCGGGUAAUCCUAUCUGAUUUGAGGUCUAAAUCAAAAGUGACUAAGAUCUAGCUAUGAGCUUCUACUUCAAAUUCGGCCACUUAGAAAGUGUCCUCAGCGAAUAGUCUAUCACGCUGAGUCAAUCCGAAUAUCGAAAUUGAGAUGCUAAUGUAUUACGAAUGAGCUUCGUCCGAAGGACCAGCAACACUCA
This 200-nucleotide unclassified non-coding RNA is filed under the name Pseudohyphozyma sp. RNAcentral's name for it is "partial internal transcribed spacer 2". The record is from RNAcentral. Lineage: Eukaryota; Fungi; Basidiomycota; Microbotryomycetes; Chrysozymaceae.